ACCAGGAACCAGAAUUGAACUGGUGACACGAGGAUUUUCAGUCCUCUG
This 48-nucleotide transfer RNA is filed under the name Gnetum hainanense. Its description in RNAcentral is "partial tRNA-Phe". RNAcentral also lists the same sequence under 3 other names. The record is from RNAcentral. Lineage: Eukaryota; Viridiplantae; Streptophyta; Gnetopsida; Gnetales; Gnetaceae.